RNAcentral lists this ribosomal RNA (407 nucleotides) under uncultured bacterium. RNAcentral describes it as "bacterial SSU rRNA". It matches the Rfam family "Bacterial small subunit ribosomal RNA", at positions 355 to 776 of the family's 1533-position model. The record is from RNAcentral.
UGGGGAAUAUUGGGCAAUGGGCGAAAGCCUGACCCAGCGACGCCGCGUGAGGGAAGAAGGUCUUCGGAUUGUAAACCUCUUUCAGCAGGGAAGAAGGAAGUGACGGUACCUGCAGAAGAAGCCACGGCUAACUACGUGCCAGCAGCCGCGGUAAUACGUAGGUGGCAAGCGUUAUCCGGAAUUAUUGGGUGUAAAGGGUGUGUAGGCGGGACUUUAAGUCAGACGUGAAAAUCAAAGGCUCAACCUUUGACCUGCGUUUGAAACUGGAGUUCUUGAGAGUGGGAGAGGUAAACGGAAUUCCUGGUGUAGCGGUGAAAUGCGUAGAUAUCAGGAGGAACACCGGUGGCGAAGGCGGUUUACUGGACCACAACUGACGCUGAGACACGAAAGCGUGGGGAGCAAACAGG